GAUGAAGAACGUAGCGAAAUGCGAUAAGUAAUGUGAAUUGCAGAAUUCAGUGAAUCAUCGAAUCUUUGAACGCACAUUGCGCCCCCUGGAAUUCCGGGGGGCAUGCCUGUCCGAGCGUCAUUACAACCCUCAAGCUCAGCUUGGUAUUGGGCCCCGCCGACCCGGCGGGCCCUAAAGUCAGUGGCGGUGCCGUCCGGCUCCGAGCGUAGUAAUUCUUCUCGCUCUGGAGGUCCGGUCGUGUGCUCGCCAGCAACCCCUAAUUUUUUUCAGGUUGACCUCGGAUCAGGUAGGGAUACCCGCUGAACUUAAGCAUAUCAAUAAGCGGAGGA
Molecule: unclassified non-coding RNA, 329 nt
Filed under: soil metagenome
Description: partial contains 5.8S ribosomal RNA, internal transcribed spacer 2, and large subunit ribosomal RNA
Rfam family: 5.8S ribosomal RNA (bases 1-120)
Source: RNAcentral